RNAcentral lists this ribosomal RNA (510 nucleotides) under uncultured bacterium. RNAcentral's name for it is "partial 16S ribosomal RNA". It matches the Rfam family "Bacterial small subunit ribosomal RNA", at positions 28 to 507 of the family's 1533-position model. The record is from RNAcentral.
GACGAACGCUGGCGGCGUGCUUAACACAUGCAAGUCGAACGAAGAGCGACGGAUGCUGGCGUCUAUCAAUCUUAGGGGCGGACGGGUGAGUAACGCGUAACCAACCUGCCCUUUAGAGGGGGACAACAGUAGGAAAGGACUGCUAAUACCACAUACGACCGAACCUCGGCAUCGAGGGUAGAUGAAAGGUGGCCGCUACAUGUAAGCUAUCAUUGAAGGAGGUGGGUGCGGCUGAUGAGCUAGGUGGAGGGGACACGGACCAUCAAGGCGAGGUUCAGUAGCACGUCUGCGAGGAUGGACGGCCACAUUGGGAGGGUGACCCGGCCCAGACUCCUACGGGAGGGAGCCGUGGGGCAUCUUGCGCCAUGGACGAAAGUCUGACCGAGCUACGCCGCGUCAGUGAUGAGCACCUUCGGGUUGUAAAUCUCGGUUAAUCGGGACGAAAGGCCUUCUUGCGAAUAGUGAGAGGGAUUGACGGUACCGGAAUAGAAAGCCACGGCUAACUACGUG